AGGCCUGUAGCUUAAUUGGCAAAGCCCAUUUCACUUCCGUCUUUUUAAGACAGUACUUGACUAUGCAGGUUCAAAUCCUGCCGGGUCUA
Non-coding RNA from Tulasnella sp. UAMH 9824, 89 nucleotides. The record is from the annotation of a GenBank genome assembly. NCBI's taxonomy places the organism in Eukaryota, Fungi, Basidiomycota, Agaricomycetes, Cantharellales, Tulasnellaceae.